This 253-nucleotide ribosomal RNA is filed under the name uncultured bacterium. RNAcentral describes it as "partial 16S ribosomal RNA". It matches the Rfam family "Bacterial small subunit ribosomal RNA", at positions 524 to 776 of the family's 1533-position model. The record is from RNAcentral.
UACGAACUGUGCGAACGUUAUUCGGAAUCACUGGGCUUACAGGGUGCGUAGGCGGCUUAACAAGUCAGGUGUGAAAGCCCACGGCUCAACCGUGGAAUUGCGCUUGCAGCUGUUCGGCUUGAGUAAGCUAGAGGCAUGCGGUACUUCCGGUGGAGCGGUGAAAUGUGUUGAUAUCGGAAGGAACACCAGAGGCGACAGCGGCAUACUGGGGCUUGUCUGAGGCUGAGGCCCGACAGUCACGCGAGCAAUCGGG